This is a long non-coding RNA of Canis lupus familiaris (dog), 3752 nucleotides long. RefSeq lists it as uncharacterized. The record is from RefSeq and is a predicted model, not a curated record. Lineage: Eukaryota; Metazoa; Chordata; Mammalia; Carnivora; Canidae. The transcript has 2 exons.
AAUGAAAGUCUCCAGAAUUUUAAAUACCUUGAAGAGGAGCCAACGCCUGCUCCUUGGAGGCUACAUUUAAAAUAAAUAACAAUAAAAGAGGGUGAUCCAGGCUUUUGAAGUCUUUAAAGACACUAUCUCUGUGAUCUCUCUGGCACUGGUGCAGAAAGAGGACAGCAUUUCACAUUUCUGGCAAUACUAAUGACAACACAGAAACUGAAAGCAAGCAUGAAUUUCUGGGAGUAGCAUUAGGAUGCAGAGCUCCUGCUGAGCUCACCAGAUCCUUGCUCUGCACAGCUGCCUUCUCAGCUGGGGGUUUUAAAUCAGCACAGUGAGAAAAGAUAGCAAUGACCAUGAUGCAUCUUCCUCACUAUGAGAAAAAGAGGAAUAUGCAGCCCAUGAACCGGAGAGCCGAUCUGGUACUUAAAACUGAGGGCUCCUCGCUUUCUUUGAAGCCACAGAGCAUCUCUGGGUGGUAGUCGGGUAUCAAACAAACAGAGAUGCCUUUUCGCACAUGCUGGAAGCAGUCACCCCUGUUGCCAAGGAAACAUCCUCAGGCGACAAGGGUCACCUUUGGAGACAAUUGGAAGACUUCAAAAGCAGAUCAAUAGAGAAACCCAAGACCUGAACUUCCUCGCUCAUGUUGUCUCUUCUGUUAAAUGUCGUUUGCAGCAAACACUUGCUUGUGUGAUCACUAUGAACUGGGAAGUGGGAAGGCAAAAUCGACUGUGUAAUAGUACGUCCAGCGCAGCACGUCUGAGCUGUGGUCCAGGAAGCCUCGGGUUUGGGAGAGAUGUUGUAAGAGGGGGAAUGAGCAGGACCAACAGCCUAAUGAGGGACUGGCAUCCAGGUCAAACGAGAGGAGCUGCCUGUGAUGCUUUCUUUGAAGAAAAGAUCCAACUCAUUAAAGAAAUACAGAUUCUUUGCUCAUACGAGCACACGUGAUUGUACUUUGUGCAAAUCGGUGAAAUUUUCAUUUUAAUUUCGGCAAACGUUUUGUCAGGUAUGACGUUUGGACAGUUUUUGUGUCAAGGACGCACAGUUGCACUCAUUCAUUCAUUUGCUUGUUCUUCUACCAACUGUCUGUGAUCCCACACCCGGAGCCGGGGCUACUCUGGAGAUGAGGACUGAAUAGCAGCCAGUCCCCGCCUUGGAGUCUGGGGACUCCGAGUGGUGAAGAAGGUAGACGCAGAGACAGUGGAGGCACUGGCAGAGGGAACAGGGAGGGAUCCUGGUAAUUGCCUGCAGGAACGUGCGGGAAGGCUUUUGGGGAGACCCAGCGCUUUAUCUUAGCCUUGGAGGACGGAGGCGCCUUGAGCAGGGCACCCAGCACCGACAGGACGUUCGGAGCAGAGACAACAGCAAAUGCAAAGGGCAGAGAUGGGAAGAGCAGAUUUCUUGGGAGUUCUGUUGACCAAAGGUCAGGGUGCACCGAGGACAUGAGGCUCAAGAAGGAAAAUGGGCCUGGAUCAUAUAAAGUCCGUAUAGAAUAUGAAAAAAUUUAUACCUUAAUGCUAGUUUUCCAGAUUUUUCCUUUCUAACUUUAGGGAUAGCUAAGGGGCUUGCCUGACCCUACGACAAAUAGAGCUCUAAUUAGCUAGGUAUUCUUUUCUCUCCCAUUUUGCAAUCCAAUUAUUUACGAAUACCUCUGUGCUUUCAGAUGGCUUAAGGAAUCGGAACUUAUGCGACUGUUUAUUGUCUGAAGCAAGAAUCAUGAAAUCUAGGGAUAAACCCUCUUGCUAUUAAAACUCACAAUAAUACUUGAUUUAUUGAACUGCAAACGAUGGAACUUGAGUAAGCGUUAGGAUGACCUCCACUUUCAAAGUAGCUAGGAGAAUUAAGCCGUCAGUAGCCAGCAUUUCCAAAAUCAUGUAUCUGUCUUUUUUUUUUUUUGCCAGAAAAUUCAAAUGUGGCAAAUGUCGAGAGCUCUUUGGAUGACUAACAUGUUAGAUUGCACACUGAAAUGUACCUUGUUAAGUCUGCCUUUCUGAGGGACAAGAACGAAACUUUGUGUUUAAGAAAAUUUGGAGGGUGGGUAUGUUUGAGAGCUAAAGCUUUUUGGCAUCAUUUAGGCUAGCCACCUGUUCUAGCCUGCAUUUGCUGCAUAAAUUAGAUGCUCUGGGGAGAGUGUAUGCAGCUGAUUGGUCUGCCCUGUUACCAAGGCAACCAUUUUUCUCUCUGCUCUAUGACUCUGAAAGGGUUCAUAACCCAUUAGUGCUCCUUUGAGCAGGAACAAGAGAAAAUUUCUUUUUUUCUUGCCUUUCUUUCUUUCUUUCUUUCUUUCUUUCUUUCUUUCUUUCUUUCUUCUUCUUUCUUUCUUUUUUCUUUCUUUCUUCUUUCUUUCUUUCUUUCUUUCUUUCUUUCUUUCUUUCUCUUUCUUCUUCUUCUUCAAUUUCUUUUAUAAAUUUCUGGUCAAGAUGAUGGGAUUAGUAUAAUUUAACAGAUACCCUUACUGUAUGAUUUAUUCAAGCAGUACAUUUUCCAGAUGUUUGAAAGAACUUAAGUUUAAACCUAAAGGCACAUAAAUCACGGCUGAAAGGAGGGAUGCUAAUGAUAACUAAUUCUUUUAAGAAUGGAAGAUAUUUUCAAUCUCAAGUGGAGUUCAUCUGAGGUAAUAUAUGUAAAAACAAACUCUCUGCACUUAGUCUAAAAGGCAGUGAAAGAGAGGCUAUUUUCCCCAAAUUAUUUCAUCUAUUAUUCCCGUCAGGGUUUUCUCACUUUGCAGAGGUGACGAGACAUGAACGAGCCAUAAUUUAGCAAAGGCUUUAUCAGAUUCAUGGAGCCAUAAAUUCCGGGGAGUAAGUGAUCAUUUUCUGAAUGCCAAAGGGCUGGGGGCCCGAGGAGGGGGGCGGGAACAGCUGACCCCAAACCGUGGUAGUGCCAGGAAAUAAGCACGGAUUUUCAGCCACAAGUCCCGUAUAGACCUCAGCCUAUUAGUUUUAUUCUAUUUUGUAAUCCAUGUUUUAUCUUUCCUCUCCAACUCGGUAUGCUGUCCCUUUGUGUUCUAAAUCUUCAUGCAUUAAGAGACAAAACACAAACAGUAGGCCUCCCCAAACAGAUGAAUUCCUUCCACACCUACCCGGCACCAGGAAUGCUCAUUUUUUCCCAUUCGCUUCCUUCCUUGUGUCCACUCAGUGAGGCAGAUGAUGUCAGUUAUCCUGUCUUGCGAUUGAGUGGACGGAGACUCGAGCGGAUGACAUACCUUGCCCAAGGUGGCCGAGGGGGCACUCCCUUUGAUUCUAGCUGACUCUAAAACCAUGCUUUCCCACUAUGCUCUAGUGUCUCUAAAGCACUAGCAGGGCAUGUCCUUUCUGAACGUUGAAAUCUUGGGGAGAAAAAACCCAAUAGAAUAUUAAAACAUCUAAAUUAAGCUUCUUGGAGGGCUUCUACUUCUCUCAUUUUGGAUAUUUUUCAAGAGUAGAGCACAACUUCAGGCUUUUGUACAUAUUAGGAGGGAAGUCUUAAUCAGACAUAGCAAAUUUCUUUGACACUGUUUUUUUUUAAGAUUUUAUUUAUUUAUUUGACACAGAGAGAGAGAGAGAGAAAGAGCACAAGCAGGGGGAGCAGCAGAGGGAGGAUCAGACUCCUUGCUGAGUGGGCAGCCCAACAUGCGACUCCAUCCCAGGACCCUGAGACAUGACCUGGGCUGAAGGAAGGCUGACACUCAACCGACUGAGCCACCCAGGCUCCCCCUUUAACACUUCUUUUUAUUAUCAUUCUAUAAAUACUAGAAAAACUGAUUAAAAUUGAACUUUACAUGCUUA